Molecule: ribosomal RNA, 195 nt
Filed under: uncultured Geobacter sp.
Lineage: Bacteria; Pseudomonadati; Thermodesulfobacteriota; Desulfuromonadia; Geobacterales; Geobacteraceae
Description: partial 16S ribosomal RNA
Rfam family: Bacterial small subunit ribosomal RNA
Source: RNAcentral
CCUACGGGAGGCAGCAGUGGGGAAUUUUGCGCAAUGGGGGAAACCCUGACGCAGCAACGCCGCGUGAGUGAUGAAGGCCUUCGGGUCGUAAAGCUCUGUCUAGAGGAAAGAAGUGUGGGGUGGCUAAUAUCCACUUCACUUGACGGUACCUCUGAAGGAAGCACCGGCUAACUCCGUGCCAGCAGCCGCGGUAAU